Molecule: transfer RNA, 86 nt
Filed under: Caldithrix abyssi DSM 13497
Lineage: Bacteria; Pseudomonadati; Calditrichota; Calditrichia; Calditrichales; Calditrichaceae
Rfam family: tRNA
About the family: Transfer RNA (tRNA) molecules are approximately 80 nucleotides in length. Their secondary structure includes four short double-helical elements and three loops (D, anti-codon, and T loops).
Source: Rfam by way of RNAcentral
GCCGAGGUGGUGGAACUGGCAGACACAAGGGACUUAAAAUCCCUUGCCCCUUUUGGGGCGUGCGGGUUCAAGUCCCGCCCUCGGCA